UGGGGAAUUUUGCGCAAUGGGGGAAACCCUGACGCAGCAACGCCGCGUGGAGGAUGAAGUCCUUCGGGACGUAAACUCCUUUCGAUCGGGACGAUAAUGACGGUACCGAGAGAAGAAGCCCCGGCUAACUUCGUGCCAGCAGCCGCGGUAAUACGAGGGGGGCGAGCGUUGUUCGGAAUUAUUGGGCGUAAAGGGUGCGUAGGCGGUUUGGUAAGUCUUAUGUGAAAUCUAUGGGCUCAACUCAUAGUCUGCAUGAGAAACUGCCGGGCUUGAGUGUGGGAGAGGUGAGUGGAAUUUCCGGUGUAGCGGUGAAAUGCGUAGAUAUCGGAAGGAACACCUGUGGCGAAAGCGGCUCACUGGACCACAACUGACGCUGAUGCACGAAAGCUAGGGGAGCAAACAG
RNAcentral lists this ribosomal RNA (403 nucleotides) under uncultured bacterium. RNAcentral describes it as "bacterial SSU rRNA". It matches the Rfam family "Bacterial small subunit ribosomal RNA", at positions 355 to 775 of the family's 1533-position model. The record is from RNAcentral.